Long non-coding RNA from Octopus sinensis (East Asian common octopus), 259 nucleotides. RefSeq lists it as uncharacterized. NCBI's taxonomy places the organism in Eukaryota, Metazoa, Mollusca, Cephalopoda, Octopoda, Octopodidae. The record is from RefSeq and is a predicted model, not a curated record. The transcript is spliced from 3 exons.
GCAGGAAUGAAUUUGGGAGUAUUUAUUCUUUGGUGAUUCACUGACCAAAUGACUGUAACAGAUUCCUGCCUCCCAGAGGUGAGGCAUUACAUUUGUCUUCAGCCCUUUGUGGAUGUGAAACCAUUGGUCACCCUAUGACUGGACAUCGACUUAACUACAUACCAAUAUAUAUAUGUAUAUAUAUCGUUUUUGGAAAGCGGACGUUAAACGAUGAUGAUGAUAUAAUACAUUAAAAGUCAGCUUGAAUCUUGCUUGCUUG